RNAcentral lists this ribosomal RNA (640 nucleotides) under uncultured beta proteobacterium. Its description in RNAcentral is "bacterial SSU rRNA". It matches the Rfam family "Bacterial small subunit ribosomal RNA", at positions 110 to 746 of the family's 1533-position model. The record is from RNAcentral. Lineage: Bacteria; Pseudomonadati; Pseudomonadota; Betaproteobacteria.
GUAAUACAUCGGAACGUGCCCAAUCGUGGGGGAUAACGCAGCGAAAGCUGUGCUAAUACCGCAUACGAUCUACGGAUGAAAGCAGGGGAUCGCAAGACCUUGCGCGAAUGGAGCGGCCGAUGGCAGAUUAGGUAGUUGGUGAGGUAAAGGCUCACCAAGCCUUCGAUCUGUAGCUGGUCUGAGAGGACGACCAGCCACACUGGGACUGAGACACGGCCCAGACUCCUACGGGAGGCAGCAGUGGGGAAUUUUGGACAAUGGGCGAAAGCCUGAUCCAGCCAUGCCGCGUGCAGGAUGAAGGCCUUCGGGUUGUAAACUGCUUUUGUACGGAACGAAACGGCCUUUUCUAGUAAAGAGGGCUAAUGACGGUACCGUAAGAAUAAGCACCGGCUAACUACGUGCCAGCAGCCGCGGUAAUACGUAGGGUGCAAGCGUUAAUCGGAAUUACUGGGCGUAAAGCGUGCGCAGGCGGUUAUGUAAGACAGUUGUGAAAUCCCCGGGCUCAACCCGGGAACUGCAUCUGUGACUGCAUAGCUAGAGUACGGUAGAGGGGGAUGGAAUUCCGCGUGUAGCAGUGAAAUGCGUAGAUAUGCGGAGGAACACCGAUGGCGAAGGCAAUCCCCUGGACCUGUACUGACGC